Long non-coding RNA from Bactrocera dorsalis (oriental fruit fly), 364 nucleotides. RefSeq lists it as uncharacterized. Lineage: Eukaryota; Metazoa; Arthropoda; Insecta; Diptera; Tephritidae. The record is from RefSeq and is a predicted model, not a curated record. The transcript is spliced from 2 exons.
UUACAAAAACAAGUAAGGAAGGGCUAAGUUCGGGUGUCACCGAACAUUUUAUACUCUCGCAUGAUAAAGUGAUAAUCGAGAUUUCAUUAUCCGUCAUUUACAUAUUUUUUUAUUUUGCUGUAAAAUUAAUUAGAAUUAAAUUCUGAGAGAUUUACCGAUAUUUUCGGUGAAAAAUUAGGUUAGGUUAGGUUAGGCACUGAGUUCUUCGUGUUCGAUAUCAGGGACCUUGAAAAGUUAUAGUCCGAUCACGGAAAUUUUUCCACAAGGGAUACCUCAGCUCAAAUACCGUGUUUGUGUAAAGUUUUAUUCCGCUAUCAUCAUUGGUUCCUAAUGUAUAUAUUAUACAGAGAAGGCAUCAGAUGGA